This 273-nucleotide ribosomal RNA is filed under the name uncultured Pelobacter sp. Its description in RNAcentral is "partial 16S ribosomal RNA". It matches the Rfam family "Bacterial small subunit ribosomal RNA", at positions 1107 to 1382 of the family's 1533-position model. The record is from RNAcentral. Lineage: Bacteria; Pseudomonadati; Thermodesulfobacteriota; Desulfuromonadia; Desulfuromonadales; Desulfuromonadaceae.
GACCUUAGUUGCCAGCAUUCAGUUGGGCACUCUAAGGUGACUGCCGGCUAAAAGUCGGAGGAAGGUGGGGAUGACGUCAAAUCAUCAUGCCCUUAUGACCUGGGCUACACACGUGCUACAAUGGCCGGUACAAAGGGCUGCAAUACCGCAAGGUGGAGCGAACCCCAAAAAGCCGGUCUCAGUUCGGAUUGGAGUCUGCAACUCGACUCCAUGAAGUUGGAACCGCUAGUAAUCGCGGAUCAGCAUGCCGCGGUGAAUACGUUCCCGGGCCUU